AGGACGAACGCUGGCGGCGUGCCUAACACAUGCAAGUCGAGCGAGGAGAUUCCUUCGGGAUGAUCCUAGCGGCGGACGGGUGAGUAACACGUGGGCAACCUGCCUCAUAGAGAGGAAUAGCCUUCCGAAAGGGAGAUUAAUACCUCAUAACAUUGCAGUUUCGCAUGGAACAGCAAUUAAAGGAGUAAUCCGCUAUGAGAUGGGCCCGCGGCGCAUUAACUAGUUGGUGAGGUAACGGCUCACCAAGGCGACGAUGCGUAGCCGACCUGAGAGGGUGAUCGGCCACAUUGGGACUGAGACACGGCCCAGACUCCUACGGGAGGCAGCAGUGGGGAAUAUUGCACAAUGGGGGAAACCCUGAUGCCAGCAACGCCGCGUGAGUGAUGACGGCCUUCGGGUUGUAAAGCUCUGUCUUCAGGGACGAUAAUGACGGUACCUGAGGAGGAAGCCACGGCUAACUACGUGCCAGCCGCCGC
This 476-nucleotide ribosomal RNA is filed under the name uncultured bacterium. RNAcentral's name for it is "bacterial SSU rRNA". It matches the Rfam family "Bacterial small subunit ribosomal RNA", at positions 26 to 518 of the family's 1533-position model. The record is from RNAcentral.